GCUUACGACCACACCGGCCUGAGUACGCCUGAUCUCGUCUGAUCUCUGAAGCUAAGCAGGGUCAGGUCUGGUUAGUACUUGGAUGGGAUACAGCCAGGGAAUACCAGGUGCUGUAAGCU
Oncorhynchus kisutch (coho salmon) is the source of this 119-nucleotide ribosomal RNA. The record is from Ensembl. Lineage: Eukaryota; Metazoa; Chordata; Actinopteri; Salmoniformes; Salmonidae.